This 503-nucleotide ribosomal RNA is filed under the name Streptomyces violaceusniger. Its description in RNAcentral is "bacterial SSU rRNA". It matches the Rfam family "Bacterial small subunit ribosomal RNA", at positions 303 to 818 of the family's 1533-position model. The record is from RNAcentral. Lineage: Bacteria; Bacillati; Actinomycetota; Actinomycetes; Kitasatosporales; Streptomycetaceae.
ACCGGCCACACUGGGACUGAGACACGGCCCAGACUCCUACGGGAGGCAGCAGUGGGGAAUAUUGCACAAUGGGCGAAAGCCUGAUGCAGCGACGCCGCGUGAGGGAUGACGGCCUUCGGGUUGUAAACCUCUUUCAGCAGGGAAGAAGCGAGAGUGACGGUACCUGCAGAAGAAGCGCCGGCUAACUACGUGCCAGCAGCCGCGGUAAUACGUAGGGCGCAAGCGUUGUCCGGAAUUAUUGGGCGUAAAGAGCUCGUAGGCGGCUUGUCACGUCGGAUGUGAAAGCCCGGGGCUUAACUCCGGGUCUGCAGUCGAUACGGGCAGGCUAGAGUUCGGUAGGGGAGAUCGGAAUUCCUGGUGUAGCGGUGAAAUGCGCAGAUAUCAGGAGGAACACCGGUGGCGAAGGCGGAUCUCUGGGCCGAUACUGACGCUGAGGAGCGAAAGCGUGGGGAGCGAACAGGAUUAGAUACCCUGGUAGUCCACGCCGUAAACGUUGGGAACUA